GACGAACGCUGGCGGCGUGCUUAACACAUGCAAGUCGAACGGAAAGGCCCUGCUUUUGUGGGGUGCUCGAGUGGCGAACGGGUGAGUAACACGUGAGUAACCUGCCCUUGACUUUGGGAUAACUUCAGGAAACUGGGGCUAAUACCGGAUAGGAGCUCCUGCUGCAUGGUGGGGGUUGGAAAGUUUAGGCGGUUUGGGAUGGACUCGCGGCUUAUCAGCUUGUUGGUGGGGUAGUGGCUUACCAAGGCUUUGGCGGGUAGCCGGCCUGAGAGGGUGACCGGCCGCAUUGGGACUGAGAUAGGGCCCAGACUCGUACGGGAGGCAGCAGUGGGGAAUAUUGCACAAUGGGCGGAAGCCGGAUGCGGCAGCGCCGCGUGCGGGAUGACGGCCUUCGGGUUGUAAAACGCUUUCGCCUGUGACGAAGCGUGAGUGACGGUAAUGGGUAAAGAAGCACCGGCUAACUACGUG
Molecule: ribosomal RNA, 468 nt
Filed under: uncultured bacterium
Lineage: Bacteria
Description: partial 16S ribosomal RNA
Rfam family: Bacterial small subunit ribosomal RNA
Source: RNAcentral